GUCGCAGGUGUAGUGGUUCAUCACAUCUCCUUUACAAGAGUUCCUCCCUUUCGAGAAAGAGAAGAAUUAGGCAGCGGAGAAGGUCAUGGGUUCGAUCCCCAUAGGAACU
Cladophialophora bantiana CBS 173.52 is the source of this 109-nucleotide non-coding RNA. The record is from the annotation of a RefSeq genome assembly. NCBI's taxonomy places the organism in Eukaryota, Fungi, Ascomycota, Eurotiomycetes, Chaetothyriales, Herpotrichiellaceae.